Molecule: ribosomal RNA, 375 nt
Filed under: uncultured bacterium
Lineage: Bacteria
Description: bacterial SSU rRNA
Rfam family: Bacterial small subunit ribosomal RNA
Source: RNAcentral
UAAUACGUAGGGUGCGAGCGUUAAUCGGAAUUACUGGGCGUAAAGCGUGCGCAGGCGGUUCGUCGUGUCCGAUGUGAAAGCCCCGGGCUCAACCUGGGAAUGGCAUUGGAAACUGGCGGGCUUGAGUGUGGCAGAGGGGGGUGGAAUUCCGCGUGUAGCAGUGAAAUGCGUAGAGAUGCGGAGGAACACCGAUGGCGAAGGCAGCCCCCUGGGCUAACACUGACGCUCAGGCACGAAAGCGUGGGGAGCAAACAGGAUUAGAUACCCUGGUAGUCCACGCCCUAAACGAUGAUCACUGGGUGUUCGGGGAGCGAUCUCUGAGUACCGUAGCUAACGCGUGAAGUGAUCCGCCUGGGGAGUACGGUCGCAAGAUUA